GGCACGAUGGCAGAGUGGUUAUUGCGUAAGACUAGAAUGACUCCUUUAGUCUAGAGCAUCUUAUUCCUUCGGGAGCGUAGGUUCAAGUCCUACUCGUGUCG
This 101-nucleotide transfer RNA is filed under the name Eutypa lata. RNAcentral describes it as "tRNA-Ser". It matches the Rfam family "tRNA". Rfam says of the family: Transfer RNA (tRNA) molecules are approximately 80 nucleotides in length. Their secondary structure includes four short double-helical elements and three loops (D, anti-codon, and T loops). The record is from RNAcentral. Lineage: Eukaryota; Fungi; Ascomycota; Sordariomycetes; Xylariales; Diatrypaceae. RNAcentral also lists the same sequence under 1 other name.